UCGGGAAUUUUGGGCAAUGGGCGAAAGCCUGACCCAGCAACGCCGCGUGAAGGAUGAAGUAUUUCGGUAUGUAAACUUCGUAAGAAUAGGAAGAAUAAAUGACGGUACUAUUUGUAAGGUCCGGCUAACUACGUGCCAGCAGCCGCGGUAAUACGUAGGGACCAAGCGUUGUUCGGAUUUACUGGGCGUAAAGGGCGCGUAGGCGGUGUGUCAAGUCAGUUGUGAAAUCUCCGAGCUUAACUCGGAACGGUCAACUGAUACUGUCACACUAGAGUACAGAAGGGGCAAUCGGAAUUCUUGGUGUAGAGGUGAAAUUCGUAGAUAUUAGAAGGAACACCGGUGGCGAAGGCGGCUAUCUGGACGACAACUGACGCUGAGGCGCGAAAGCGUGGGGAUCAAACAGGAUUAGAUACCCUCGUAGUCCCUGAGCGGGCUGGCAAGGCGCAU
Molecule: ribosomal RNA, 447 nt
Filed under: uncultured bacterium
Lineage: Bacteria
Description: bacterial SSU rRNA
Rfam family: Bacterial small subunit ribosomal RNA
Source: RNAcentral